UAGACAAGUCAGGCUCGUGGGAAGCUGGAAACUGGAGGCAAUGAUGCGGGACCUCCAUCGUAGCAAAACCACCUUUUUGUUGAGCAAGUGUUUAAGCCUUUCCUCGCAUUUUAAUGCCGGUUCCAGGCUCCCAGACUCUGAUGGCUGAUGCUGCGUGCAUAUUUAAUGGCAAUCUAUUUUCUCAAUGACUGCAUUUCUUUGUGGACAGCAACCAAAAUGAACCCUGAUGAACAGUAAAGUUUGGAGAAGUUGUAAACUUUGUUAUCUCCCAUGCAUGAGACACGCCGUGCAUGGAUCAGCCGCUCGCUUUAGAUGGAGAUUCGGAUAGAUGCACAUCUCUUCUAGUUGUAUUUCAGCCAGUCAUAUGUCCUACUCCCACUCCUAAGGCUGUGUUCGGUUGGCAUGGUUUUGAAGGGGUUUGGCAGGGAUUAAAUCCCAUACAAGUCAAAUCCCUGCCAAAACCACUCCAAUCCCCUUGAGACAGGGUGUAACCGAACAAAGCCUAAAGUAGCAUGUGCUUAACUGAUACUCAUGGUCCAUGCACCCACUCCUUGCCACAUUGCACACUCAUGUUUUUUCAAAGUUUGAAAUCAAAAGCCUGAUUUAGUAUCAGGCACUCAGUAAACAAGCCAUUUGAUGGAAAAAACUUUGGUCUAGGAAUUAUCUAUAAGGGUGUGUUUGGUAGCCUGCGUGUAGGGUGCAUGAGGCUAAAAGUUCCCUACCCAACCCACUUUCAGGUGUUUGGCAGGGUGUAUGGGCUCUUCUGGGCAUAGCCCGUCUGAUGCAAAAAAGGCCCCGAGCUAUGCUCGCUGGAGCACCCACGUACAUGCUAGCUGGGCUCAGCGAGGCUCGGUUCGACCCCCGCAAAAAUCUCCUCCCGACCCACUACGCUCACCCCACCCCUCUCGCUGACCUAGCCGCCACCCCUCGCCCCCAUCUCUCUCCCGCGAGGCCGCGAACAACCAUGGCGACUGGCGCCUGAUCUACAUCCCCGCCGGCCCCCUGUUCUUCUACCUCGCCGCCAUAACCGCCGCCCCGGUCUACCUCACCGCCGCCCCGGUCUACCUCGCCACUGCGCCGGUCUACCUCGCCACGGCCCUGCUCUUCAAAGCGCGGCCGCCGCACGUGGAUCUCGCCGCCGCCAGGCCUAGGCCACCGUCGCCGCCGGAGAGGUAGACCUCCGCCCUCACCCCUUCCUUCCUGCCUCGUUCCCCUCCUCCCUCCUCACCCCUUCCUUCUUGCCUCGUUCCCCUCCGCCCUCCUCACCCCUUCCUUCCUGCCUUGGGCUCACAGGGAGUAGCCGCUGCUACGUGACCAGAAACUGCUCCUCUGUUCCCUUAUGAUUAUCAUGUAUAGGUGGUCAAAAUGAUUACAGUAGAUGUAUAACUUAUGAUUGUUGUACCUAUUAUGCUCAUAUUUUAGUUUGUUCAGUGCUUGUCAUGCUGGAAAAAAAUCUGUUGUGCUAAGUAUCAAUUUGUUUGUAUUGUCAUAGAUGGAUGAAUUGGCAAGAAAACGAAGGCAAUUAAUUGUGAGAGGAGCCGGUCUAGUGGCUGGAUUGUAUGCAUACAAGAUGAUCAUGUUUAGAAGAGCUAGGCAACAAACAGCGAGGAUAACCGUGGGCAGCAUGGCCGAUCGUGCCAUAUCUAGAGAGUCCAAUUUGAGAUAUAUUUAUCACUCUAGUGAUAUAAAUUGUUCAAAUCAAUUAAGAAUGAGAAAAGCUCCUUUUUUCCGUUUGUGUGCUAUAUUUAGAGAGAGAAAUCUGUUGUUGGAUAGCAUCCAUACUUCUAUCGAGGAACAAGUAGCCAUGUUUCUUCUAGUAGUUGGCCAUAACCAAAGGUAUAGGACACUUCAACCGAUCUUUAGAAGAUCUACCGAAGUCAUUAGUAGGUAUUUUAAGGCAGUGCUUUAUGCUAUUGGGGAGUUGAGAGAUGAGAUGAUUCGGCCUCCCUCCAACCAUUGUCAUCGUAAAAUACAAGAAAGCACUCGCUUCAAUCCAUAUUUCAAGGUAAUUAUUUUUGCAAACAAAUGCAAACAAUCAAUCCGACUUAAGAAUAACAAUCAUUUGCCUUUUUUUAAUUAGGAUUGUGUUGGAGCAAUUGAUGGGACUCAUGUGCUUGCUAGAGUCCCAAAAAGUAUCUCAGCUGCCUUUAGGGGUAGAAAGGUGGGGACUACCCAAAAUGUCAUGGCUGCGGUAGACUUUGAUCUAAAGUUUACCUAUGUACUUGCGGGUUGGGAGGGAUCAGCUCAUGAUGCCCUUAUACUUGCAAAUGCAUUGGAGAGGGAAGAUGGGUUGAAAGUUCCUACAGGUAAUAAACUAGGGCCUACUACCUAAAUAUAUUAAUAUUUUUACCCAUAGCUAAUAGUUGCUAUUUCAUAGGAAAAUUCUUCCUUGUUGAUGUGGGGUAUGCUGUGAGGCCGGGUUUUCUUCCACCAUACCGUGGCACGAGGUACCACUUGAAAGAGUAUGGACGAGGGAACCAUCCUCAAAAUGCUAAAGAGUUGUUCAACUUAAGACACUCUUCUUUGAGGACAACGGUUGAAAGGGCUUUUGCCGCAUACAAAAACCGUUGGAAGUUUGUCUACAAUAAGCCGUUCCAUGGUUACAAGACCCAAGUAAAAGUAGUGCUAGCUUGUGCAAUUCUUCACAAUUGGGUACUUCAAUAUGGUGAGGAUGAGUAUUUCCCACCUGAGGAAACAUGGGAGCCGGAACCCAAUGAUGAAGAUCACAAUGAUAUUGUCCAUGACAAUAUUUCUUGGGCUCAUAAGAGAGAUGAAUUUGCAAAUCAGAUGUGGGCGAAUAGAGGGCUAGCAAACAUUUGAUGUAUCAUGUGUCUUGGUGUUGUAAAACUAUUGCUGUACUAUUAUAUUUAUGUGCUGAAACAUGAUUUUGAUGGGCUGAAAUAUGCUUAUUUAUGUGCUGAAAUGUGUUUUUGUGUCCUGGAAUUCAUAUUUAUGAGCUGAAACAUGAUUGUGAGCUGCUGAAAUAUGAUUUUUAUGUGCUGAAACAUGUUUUUGUGUGCUGGACUUCAUGUUUAUGAGCUGAAACAUAAUUUUGAGCUGCUGAAUUAUGCUUAUUUAUGUGCUGAAAUAUGUUAUUAACUUCUGGAUUGUCUAUGUUGUAGAUGGAUGAUGAGGUGCAGGAGGUUCCAAGUGUUGGUGCUCUUCCCAAGAAGGCCCCCAAGGUCAUGAAUUGGACUCCUCCUAUGUCGGCGUUGAUGUUGAAAGGCCUUUCAGAGGUGGCGUCAAGAGGUGCCAAGACUGACAAAGGAUUCAAAGAGGUUGAAAAAUUGAAAGUUGCAAAGCGUAUAUCUUCUUUCGUUGGUUAUGACGUGUCUAUUACGCAAGUGCACAAUCAUAUUCGCAAGUGGAGGAAUAGGUGGACAAGGCUUGUUUAUUUGAAGGCUUUAAGUGGGGCACUUUGGGAUGAUGACAAGAAGAUGGUAGUGCUAGAAGAACAACACUAUUUGGGCCACACUCAGGUAUGCAUGUCCAUGUACCAGCCUUUUUUGAAUGCUGAAAUGAGUUAUCUUAGUGCUCAAAGAGUGUUAAAAUGAUACAGUUUUGCCAAAAAUAAUGAUGUUUCAUAGCUGAAAUGAUGUCUUAGUUAAUUAUUUUUGUUCAAAUGGUGUUGCAGGAUCAUCCAGCAGAUGCUGAAUUGCUCAAUUCUCCACUAGAGAACUACGACUAUAUGGAACUUUGCUUUGCUAAUAAGCAUGCCACUGGGAAAUAUGCAAUGGGCCCCGGUGUGCCCCUGGGAACGCCUAUUGUUGUGGAAGACAAGGAUAAACCGAAUGUCAUGGAGGGGGAAGGAACAACGGAUGAGGUAUUGCAACAUCUUCCUGGAUCUAACUUUGUACUUCCUACUGCUAGUGCCACUCAGGACCCUUCUCCUACUUCAAAUAAGAAGAGAAAGAGGGCAUCUGGCUUGACAGAGGAGGACUCAAUCCAGUGUAGCAACAUGACUGAUGCUAUGCGUGAGAUUGCAAGUGCUAUCAACAACACUUGCCAUGCUGAAACACACCCCGACUUGUACAAGGCUGUCAUGGACCUUCUUGUGUUUAAUCAAGAUGAGCGCUUGGCUGUUUUAGAUUAUCUCACAGAACAUAAGGCAAAAGGCCUAAACUUUGUGAAGAUGGAUGAUGAAGUCCGAAAAGCAUCGUUCAAGCGAAUCUUGAAAGCCAAUCCCGGUCUUGUUUGAGUUGUUGUUAGUUGGUGCUUGAUGAGACAGUCCCUUUUGUAAUGCCUAUUAUAAAGUGUACUUCAAAUUAGACUAUGUAAUAUGAAUCUAGUGAUGCACUGCUACGAAUUAUGGUUAUUAUUCUUAUGUAAUAUGAAUCUAGUGAUGCAUUGCUUCAAAUCAAGGUUAUCAUGUGUUAUGUUAAUUGUUGAUUAUUUUAUUUAUAUUAUCAUUGUUCAAAUUAUGUUGGCAUGGUAACAUUUUAUUGCUCGAAUUGUUCCAUGAAUUGUCGAAAUGUUGUUUCAAUAUUUGUCUUGGCGGCAAAAAAAUCAUUCAUGGAGCAUACCUCAGAUACAGGCUACCAAACACAGUCUCUGUGCAACAUGUCUCGUCUGAUGCAGCCUACCAAACACAGUCUCAGCUCAGCAUGCAUUAGUACAUACAUUGCUACCAAACAACUGCAGUUGCAUGUACUGAGCAUGUCUAGACUAAGCAUGGCUCAAAUGGGAACAACUAUGCUAGGGUGGGAACAGCUACCAAACACACCCUAAAUGGACUUUGCUGCACGAACGCUCCACUCAUGCAUGGGGUGAUAUAUGGAGAAACAAUUCCUUAUUUAACAUUAUCUUAAAUUUCGUUUCCUUAUUUGACACUAAAUACCUUUUUCUUUCAUAUCUAACAACGAGUCUAAAUUUUAUGCUUUUUAUAACACUUUCGUCCAUUUUAAGACUAAAUAACACCUGAAAAGACCCUUUUGCUCCUCAUAUAAUAUGUGUGUGGAGGGCAGUGGCACACACACGCAACAUCAGUGUGAGGCCAGUAGCACACACAUAGCAACACAUAAAGACGCAGCAACCACACGCACGCACACACAGCAGCACACACGCACGCAACACACUCACAGGCAGCAGCACACACACACACGUAGCACACACGCAGCAGCAGCACAUACCUAGCAGCAGCUCACAGCACACAAGCAUGCAAACAUCACACACACACGUACAUACGCAUGCACUAGCAAACACACACACACCAGCACACGCACACAAACAUCACACACACACGUACAUACGCAUGCACUAGCAAACACACACACACACCAGCACACGCACACAAACACACACACACGGCACACAGCAGUAGCAUGGGUAUGCGUACACACGCGCGCAACAUCACACAUGGCGUGCUUGGUUGCCGUAGUCUACAGUAGCUGCAUUGCACAGCCUUCUCAACUCAGCCUGACUAUACAAAUGCAGUCUCAAAUGCACCAUCUGCAUAUUAUUUAGUUGCCUGCAUGCCCUCUUGUCUGCAUGGGCUGAACCACACUGCUUGGUAUUUUGUUGUCUGCAUGUUAGUGGACAAAUCCAAGGUAUGGUGUUUGGUUGUAUGCAACGCCUGGUGUGUGGUAAUCUCUUUGGCUAGUUGGUGAGGUUACCAGCACACUUCGGCACAACAAUGUAGCAAUCAUAAACAGAGCAAAGUAUAAACAGAGGAUCAACUACUUAAGAGCAUAUUUCAGAUAAGCAGUACCACAUUUCAUAACAGUUCAAUGCAUAAACCACAAACAUAAAUAGUUCAAAGCAGACUCAAUAGUAGUACUUAGGAAGAGGUGCCCCGGCUCUAGUCCUUGGCGGCGAAGGUUUCGCCGUGCUUCCCGUACUUGUUGACGACCUCAAUGCCAUCGUCGUCGAAGAUGAUGACCUUGAGGUGUCGGGAGUGAGGAGCUUGAAUGCCACCAUGUAGCCGAUCUUGAUCUGAUGAACGGCUGCGUAGGUGGCCCAACCCUGAUCCAGGGUCACCCUGCCGUUCAUCAGCUUCACCGCCAACUUUCAGGAGCAGCCGAUGUUGUUCCUGAAUUUGAACUCCGCCGGCACCACAACAAAGUGCUUGGUGAAGUCCAGGGGCAUGAGGAUGCACUCAAACUUCAGUGCAAGGAUGACCUUGAAAAAAUGAGUUGAGCCAUCCUCCAUCCUCCUAAUGGUAGUCACCCCGUGUCCCGCUCCUCCUUGCUAGCCGUCGCUACUGCUAGGGCUCGUCGUCGCCAGUUCGUGUCGACCCGUGGAGGCAUGGACUGAAUCGAAUAAACGAAGGAACGUCCAGAUCGAGCGUCGUGGACGGGAGGUCGUGGUGGUGCUUAACUUGCAUAUGGCCCAAUAGUAUACCUGACUUCCAUAAGGACCAAUAACGCGAGAACAGGAUCGAUGGCUGAGGAACACCCAAUACGUGGUUUUAUUUUCGGUGGAUUUUUUUAGCGAACGAUUUAUACAUAGUACGGUGAAAAAAUCGCUGGAAAUCAAGGUAAGGCGAGCGCCCAACCUCCUACCGAGAGCUCCGCCUGUGACAUUACACACACGCGCGCAUAGAAACAUACCAUAUGAGGGCAAAAUAAUUUUUUCAUGUGUCAUUUAGGUUUGAAAUGGACAAAAGUGUUAUAAAAGGCAUAAAAAUUUAAACUCGUUGUUAGAUAAGGAAAACAUUAUUUGUCGAUGUCAAAUAGGGCAUAAAAUUUAGAUACGGUGUUAAAUAAGGAAUUGGAACAUAAAUGUAACGAAUACAAAAUAUGUCACUCAACCACAAAGUAAUAUAUAGAAUUGACAUUCCAUAAAUAUUUCACACUAAAGGAAAAACUAUAUCAUCUCACAUCAUGUGGACUGAAACGGCCCCCCAUAGAAGAAUCGCCCAUCGACAACGGGAGUGGCUCAGUAGAUAUUCGAGUUAGUAAUGACAGUGGGUGAGUCUUGCGUCAACGGCGAGGCUUGGCCAUUCUGAUCGAAGAUUUGGAUAUUGCUCAUGAGCGCGGACGCAAUCGCAUCACCCUGGGAAGGUAGCCACUGCCCAUCGGAACUAAAUUCGUCGUGUGGGUCUGCACGUAUCCACCAAAACGGAUAGACGGCGCUUGGUUCGCCAUCCCUCUGGUAAAUAACGACUUGGGGAAAGACCCAAUAAAUGCAGGGUCAUCCUGAUUGAGCCCGUAAUACGCCAGCCAGUCUCCCAUUACGCCGUCCUGUAAUUUAGGGGAUAGUUAGGUUCCAACGAUGCAUAGAGUUGAAUGAAAUACGUCUGUUAACAUUUAGCAAAACCACUAAUACGAAACUUGCAAAGCGUGCCCAGCAAAUUGGCACAACUUAACAUGCAAAAGUACAGUUUUCAUGACAUGUUUUGAUACAUAUCACCCAUGUUGAAAAAGCUAAUUGACACGACUUAACAUGCAAAAGUACAGCUUUCAUGACAUGUUUUCAUACAUAUCCCAGAUGUCGGGAAAAACACAUAACAUGCAUGUUUUUUUUAUCAUAUAUCAUAUCUAUUCAAUACAAUCACACAAAUUUUUUAAACCAGUGCACAUCAAUGAUCAUAUAAUUUCAUGUUAAUUUAAAAUUUGGUAAAAAAGAACCAAAUAACAUGCAGAUAGAGCAAAGAUGUGUACUUUUAGUAACAAAAUUACAUGUAAAAAAACCAAGUAAUUAUACUUAUACAAAUUAAGCAUAAUAUGAAAUAUUAAUUGCCCACCAUUGAUGAGAAAUUAUGAGAUGGAUUAGAUCAACACUGCCCACAUAGACUGCUUUUAUAUUAGCUUCGUAGAUACAGAGAUACAUGUCUAGCUAAGAAAGUGAGAUUUCGGGUGUGGACGGAUGCAUCUUAUUAUAUGAUUGGAAUCUAAGAUGAAUUUCACAUUAUGUUUUCAGGAAUUUUUUUUGUAUAAUUUUACAUAAAUUAGUAAACAUCUCGGGAUGAAACCACAUGCCAAUAUUGGGUGGAGGUGUGUACCUUAAAAAUUAUAAUAGUGAUGGUUUGUUUGAGUCCCUUGGGUUGGGAAACUGUCUCAAUUACACCUCCGAGCGUCAUGGGUGCACCCUCUGCCGGCCGAAAAUCGCACUGGGCAUUGGGGCAACCAGUUUCUUGUAACCCAUCAUUCUACAUCAACAGUAAAGAAGAAGAAGAACAACAACACGUGUUAGUCCAUAGAAGGAUAGUUAAUUAAGUCAUGCAUCUUGUGGAUCCCAAAGCAGCCUACAAUCUUAUAUGUAGAUUAAAAAGAAACGAAGGGAGUAUUAUAGACUCACCGUCCAUAGGCCAGCUAAACGGGUGCGCGAAUCGCCGUACAUCUUGGGUGAAACCUAGAAGAACGACAAUGAUCGAGGAAGCAAUGUAAGCCAUCUGUAUAUCACAUCUCUCCAUGCAUUUGGCGCUGGCAUGCAUGUUGAUAUCACACACACUUACCUCCCAGCCGAUCUGGAUUGUACUGUAGCUGCUCGGCUCACCGUCUCCUACGUCGAAGAGGAUGAUCGAGCCCACAGUGUACUGCUCGAUGCCGAGGUUGAAGUUGUACACGUCCAUCGUCGCCAUGAUCCCGUAGUAACCCUGAUCGGAUGCUGCUGUCUGGUGCGCAGCAACCUAAGUGACGACACAGCACAAAGUCAAGUUUUUUGUGUUCAUCAAGAGUAUUAGCGAUGGUUUUGGAAUAUAUCUCAAAUCAAGAGUAUAUGCUAGUCUCCCGGCAAAAAAGUAAAAAUAAACAUAAACAUACUUACGUAUUCUGUUUGAAAACCAGAUUCAGUAUCGAGUGGUGAAACUUGACCGAGCGACCAUCUUCGGGGGAACAUCCUCGUUUCGUUCCUCCACUUUUGGAGGUUUACCUGAUCAACAAUGAACGUGCAAAUUAUCAAACUUAUUUGUAAUUUAGAAAUUUGAUUAACACGAUCGAUUAUGAGUAUACAUACCUGUUGAUUAGUUGGGUAGAGACGGGCAGCAUUGGUUCCAGUGCCGGCCAAAAGCACCAUCCACACGGUGAGACGAAGAAGAUCAACCAUCGCCUCGGCCGGUCUGAUUGCACGCUCUUAAUCUCGAGACAAAAGAACGUAAGCCAACUUAGUCGAUCGGCAAGACAUGCAGACGCCACGCGAGCCUAUAUAGACGCCGGUUUCCUCGUGAUAAAUUUGGAAGCUCUUUUCCACGAUUUAUUCUUUUGGGAAAUCUUCCCCUCAAGUUUGUUGUUUCCAUAUUUGGUGUCAGAUUGAUUCCUCUAUACUUGCGGCGGGCACUGAGGUUUCCACAUCUCCUUUGAGGUUUCCAUUUUUCGCGUAAGAUUGAUUCAUCUUUACUUGCCUUGUGAGUUUUUUCUGCCAUGUCGCACUCCCAUUUGUGCGCCUCUUGUUUUUUUUUUAGUACAUGAGUACAUUUGUGUGCCUCUUGUUGAGUCUUUUUUAACACAAUAUUGACGCAGACGCUCAUACAUAACUCAUCCCUAUAAACGCACGCACAUCCUAUACUUAUAAGCAACUCCGAGUGACUGAGAAAACACAUCAUUUUGAGAUUGAUGAAGUUGCCACACAUGCCUUCGUAGUCGAUGGAAACAUCCCCUCUCACUGAAUGUACAUCUCAGGAAGGCCUGAAAUAAAUCACGAAAAAUACAUCCAUCAAUGCCAAAUUUAGGACUUGAACCCUGGGUUAGUUCCACCACAAGCAAUGUAACCAUAUGAGCUACGCUCAGCUCAACAAGAGGAGUGUGCCUCUUGUUGAUUCGACAAGCCAUUUUAGCUUCCUUGCAGCUCCGGGUACAAACCAGUUUUUUUUUGCGAAAAAGGCCUAAGGUCCUAGGAGUAUAUUAAAUUUUUCAUGUCCUUUCCCGCAAAAAAAUAAAAAUAAACAUUCACAUGUCCUUAGAAACAUACUCAUACACAAAAAUAAAAUUACAUUCAAGUAAUUGGGGAUGCUGCAGUCUUCUUUCUUCUGCAUCCACCAUUUGCAUGUCAUGAGCAUAGUUCGAUGCCGCCUCUAGGCCUUCGCCUAGGUGGAGCAAACUUUUUCAAACCCAUGAGCUUGUAAAAGUAACGGCAGGAAAGUCGUCGAUGCAGAUCAGGCGACACCGACGGCCAUGGUCUACAAAGACCAUGAACGUUGGUUGUAUCCUCACAGAUUCAACUGAAAACUUAAACCGACCAGAUCCCAGAAAGUUGGAGACACAUCUCCACAUGCCUUCUGCCGGCGAUAAGCAUACCAAUAGAACACAAAAAAGCAAAGAGAACAUUAUUCCUACAAGGAACAGGGCCGCCGCCUCACCGCUUCAAACCAAACUCCAAGACUCCCUAAAGAAAACAAAAAAAAAA
This 10281-nucleotide long non-coding RNA is filed under the name Triticum aestivum (bread wheat). RNAcentral's name for it is "long non-coding RNA (TAES_LNC015138)". The record is from RNAcentral. Lineage: Eukaryota; Viridiplantae; Streptophyta; Magnoliopsida; Poales; Poaceae.